This 3314-nucleotide unclassified non-coding RNA is filed under the name Hevea brasiliensis (rubber tree). The record is from RNAcentral. Lineage: Eukaryota; Viridiplantae; Streptophyta; Magnoliopsida; Malpighiales; Euphorbiaceae.
AAAAAAUUUCUCCUUCGCCAAGCCGCUUUGCGAUAUAUCGCAGCUUGCUUCGUCUAGGCUUUAGGUAUCGAGCACCUCAGUCGAGUCUCGCUAGCUAUUUUCUCUGUUAAAUAUCCGUAAGAUCUGUGACCACUGCAAUCAAUUAUUCUUCUGUUCUCACAUGGCUCCGGACCCAAACAGCGCCAGUGGCAGCGGCACGACCAGAGAGGAGACUUCGGUGAAGGUGCCAUCCAAGGACCCCAAAAAGAGGGACGAGAAGAAGGAUGAGGAUCUGUCGGAUGAGGACCUGGCAUUGAAGCAGCAGUUGGAGUUGUAUGUCGAAAGGGUUCAGGAUCCUGAUCCUGGGUUGCAGAAGGUUGCCUUAGAGAGUAUGAGGCAGGAAAUUCGAACAUCAACAAGCUCAAUGACCUCUGUUCCAAAGCCAUUGAAAUUUCUUCGACCACAUUAUGGAACUCUAAAGUCAUAUUAUGAAACAAUGGCUGACUCAGAUUUGAAGAAAUACUUGGCAGAUAUACUGUCAGUUUUGGCAUUGACCAUGUCUGCUGAGGGAGAACGGGAGAGCUUAAAGUACCGAUUGUUGGGAUCAGAAGGUGAUAUUGGUUCAUGGGGCCAUGAAUAUGUCAGGAACUUGGCUGGAGAAUGUGCUGAAGAAUAUGCAAAACGACAGGGUGAGGAAACGUCAAUUGAUGAUCUAAUGGAACUUGUAACACAAAUUGUUGCUUUUCACAUGAAGCACAAUGCUGAACCUGAAGCAGUUGACCUUUUAAUGGAGGUUGAAGACCUUGAUCUUUUGAUUGACCAUGUAGACAAAACAAAUUUCAAGAGGACCUGCCUAUAUCUCACCAGUGCUGCAAGAUACCUUCCUGGACCAGAUGAUAUGCUAGUUCUUGAUAUCGCUUAUAUGAUAUAUCUCAAAUAUGAAGAAUAUUCAAAUGCACUCCAGAUUGCUCUAUUCCUUGAUAACUUGCAGUAUGUGAAGCAGGUUUUUACGGUUUGUGAUGAUAUGCUCCGAAAGAAGCAAUUCUGUUACAUCGUUGCUCGACAUGGUAUUACUUUUGAGCUUGAUGAUGAAGUGGCUGCAGACGAUGAAGACAGAGAAGCAUUGCAGGAAAUCAUCAACAACACCAAGUUAAGCGAAGGUUAUCUAACCCUUGCUCGGGAUAUAGAAGUCAUGGAGCCCAAAUCUCCUGAAGACAUCUAUAAGGCACAUUUGCUUGAUGGGCGGGCUAGUGCUGGUGCUAGUGUUGAUUCUGCUAGACAAAAUUUGGCUGCUACUUUUGUCAAUGCAUUUGUAAAUGCAGGCUUUGGUCAGGAUAAGUUAAUGACAGUUCCUUCAGACCCUUUAAGUGGUGGUUCUUCAGGAAAUUGGCUUUUCAAGAAUAAAGAACAUGGAAAGGCCAGUGCUGCUGCAAGUCUGGGUAUGAUCUUGUUGUGGGAUGUUGACUCUGGACUUGCUCAAAUUGAUAAAUAUUUCCAUAGCAAUGACAACCAUGUUAUUGCCGGUGCACUACUCGGAGUUGGGAUUGUCAAUUGUGGUAUCAAGAAUGAUUGUGAUCCUGCAUUGGCUCUUCUAGGUGAUUAUACAGAUAAAGAAGAUUCAUCCAUCAGAAUUGGGGCUAUAAUGGGUCUCGGAAUUGCAUAUGCUGGUUCUCAGAAUGAGCAGAUACGCUAUAAAUUGUCACCCAUUCUUAGUGAUGCAAAAGCUCCCCUUGAUGUAAUUGCAUUCACUGCAAUAUCAUUGGGCUUGAUAUGUGUGGGUUCCUGCAAUGAAGAAGUUGCACAGGCUAUUAUAUUUGCAUUAAUGGACCGAAAUGACUCAGAAUUACAAGAGCCCCUUACUCGGUUCUUGCCUCUUGGCCUUGGUCUUCUAUACCUCGGGAAGCAGGAAAGUGUGGAGGCCACAGCAGAAGUUUCAAAGACAUUUAAUGAGAAAAUCAGAAAAUACUGUGAUAUGACACUGCUUUCUUGUGCCUUUGCGGGGACUGGGAAUGUUCUUAAGGUUCAAAACCUCCUGGGUCAUUGUGCUCAGCAUCUUGAGAAGGGUGAAACCCACCAGGGACCAGCUGUGCUAGGAAUUGCCAUGGUUGCAAUGGCAGAGGAAUUGGGGCUUGAAAUGGCAAUUCGUUCGUUGGAGCAUCUUCUGCAGUAUGGGGAACAAAAUAUCCGCCGGGCAGUUCCUUUGGCACUUGGUCUCCUUUGCAUAUCAAACCCAAAGGUUAAUGUUAUGGACACAUUAAGCAGACUUAGCCAUGAUGCAGAUUCAGAAGUUGCAAUGGCUGCAGUUAUUUCCUUAGGUUUGAUAGGUGCAGGAACCAAUAAUGCCAGAAUUGCUGGCAUGCUUCGCAAUCUUUCAAGCUAUUACUACAAAGAUGCUAGCCUUCUGUUCUGUGUGCGAAUUGCUCAAGGUCUUGUACAUUUGGGAAAGGGCUUAUUGACUCUGAAUCCAUAUCAUUCUGAUCGUUUCUUGUUAUCACCGAUGGCUCUUGCUGGUUUAAUAACCAUGCUUCAUGCAUGUCUAGAUAUGAAAGCUAUCAUCUUGGGAAAAUAUCAUUAUGUUCUCUAUUUCCUUGUUUUGGCAAUGCAGCCACGAAUGUUGAUGACUGUGGAUGAGAAUCUCAAACCUUUAUCUGUACCUGUUCGGGUGGGACAAGCUGUUGAUGUUGUUGGUCAGGCAGGUCGACCCAAGACUAUUACUGGUUUCCAGACACACUCAACACCCGUGCUUCUGGCUGCAGGCGAUAGAGCUGAGCUUGCUACUGAGAAGUAUAUUCCUCUUUCACCCAUUCUCGAAGGCUUUGUCAUCUUGAAGGAGAACCCGGAGUACAGGGAAGAUCACUAAUUGUUAAUCAGGGCAUGAAAUGGAACUUAUUUGGCUGGUGUCAAAUAGGCCCUUGCCUAAUAGCUUCAAGCUCAGAAAAUCAAAGUUUGUAUGAGAUUUUAGGUAAGGUUAUGAUGGAUGCAGGUUAGGUCUAUCUUUUUGUUCCCCUCCUGGUUGUUCCAAACACAGCAGACCAUUGUGAAACUAGGCACUCAGUUAAGAGAGAGGGAUAUUUAUCACUUGCUUUCAAGUUUUGUAAUGAAUGUAUAUUGGGCAUGAUGGCCCUUGGUCACCUGGUUUCAUUAAAUUAGAAAGUUCUUUUUAUUUUUGGCAUUUGUGUUUAUUAAUUUGGAAGUUUUCAUUUUCUUUCCCUUAAGCUUAAGCUGCCUUCUCCUUUGGAGUGAUAAUUGUUAGUUUGAACUUGUUGGAUGCAGAACUCGAUUGAAUUGUGGUAUAAUUGGUAUCAAUCAAGUCUUAAUAUGAAAUUGAUUGUGGC